ACAAUCUCCAAAGGAGUGAAUA
Molecule: non-coding RNA, 22 nt
Filed under: Arabidopsis thaliana (thale cress)
Lineage: Eukaryota; Viridiplantae; Streptophyta; Magnoliopsida; Brassicales; Brassicaceae
Source: RNAcentral